Molecule: ribosomal RNA, 423 nt
Filed under: uncultured bacterium
Lineage: Bacteria
Description: bacterial SSU rRNA
Rfam family: Bacterial small subunit ribosomal RNA
Source: RNAcentral
GAAUUGUUCGCAAUGGGCGCAAGCCUGACGACGCAACGCCGCGUGGAGGAUGAAGACCUUCGGGUCGUAAACUCCUUUCGACCGGGAUGAAAAACCGCUGACCUAAUACGUUGGCGGACUGACAGUAUCGAGGGAAGAAGCCCCGGCUAACUUCGUGCCAGCAGCCGCGGUAAGACGAAGGGGGCAAGCGUUGUUCGGAAUUACUGGGCGUAAAGGGCGCGUAGGCGGCCUGCUAAGUCAGACGUGAAAGGCCUGGGCUCAACCUGGGAAUUGCGUUUGGGACUGGUGGGCUUGAGAGCGGGAGAGGAUGGUGGAAUUCCCAGUGUAGAGGUGAAAUUCGUAGAUAUUGGGAAGAACACCGGUGGCGAAGGCGGCCAUCUGGACCGUAUCUGACGCUGAGGCGCGAAAGCGUGGGGAGCAAAC